This 422-nucleotide ribosomal RNA is filed under the name uncultured eukaryote. RNAcentral's name for it is "bacterial SSU rRNA". It matches the Rfam family "Eukaryotic small subunit ribosomal RNA", at positions 592 to 1016 of the family's 1831-position model. The record is from RNAcentral.
CAAUAGCGUAAAUUAAAGUUGUUGCGGCUAAAAAGUUCGUAGUCGGAUUUCCGGGCGCUGUGAACGGUCCGCCACGCAAGUGGUGCGCACUGUGUACGCCGUCCGUUUUUCAGGUAGCGAACCUUGCCAUUUCCUUGGUGUGGUACACGCCUGGCAUUUUACUUUGAAUAAAUUUUGAGUGCUCAAAGCAUGCCUCUGCUCGAAUAAUUUAGCGUGGAAUAAUAGAAUACGACUCCGGUUCAAAUGUUAUUGGUUUGUUGGGCCGGAGUAAUGAUUAAUAGGGACAGUGGGGGUGCUGGUAUGUCGAGGUCAGACGUGAAAUCCGUAGAUCCUUGACGGACCAACCAACGCGAAAGCAUUCACCAAGGAUGUUUUCACUGAUCAAGAACGAAAGUUAUGGGGAUCGAAGAUGAUCAGAUACC